AACGAACGCUGGCGGCAGGCCUAACACAUGCAAGUCGAGCGCCCCGCAAGGGGAGCGGCGGACGGGUGAGUAACGCGUGGGAACGUACCCUUUGCUACGGAAUAGCCUCGGGAAACUGGGAGUAAUACCGUAUGUGUCCCUCGGGAGAAAGAUUUAUCGGCAAGGGAUCGGCCCGCGUUGGAUUAGGUAGUUGGUGGGGUAAUGGCCUACCAAGCCGACGAUCCAUAGCUGGUUUGAGAGGAUGAUCAGCCACACUGGGACUGAGACACGGCCCAGACUCCUACGGGAGGCAGCAGUGGGGAAUCUUAGACAAUGGGCGCAAGCCUGAUCUAGCCAUGCCGCGUGAGCGAUGAAGGCCUUAGGGUUGUAAAGCUCUUUCAGGGGGGAAGAUAAUGACUGUACCCCCAGAAGAAGCCCCGGCUAACUCCGUG
RNAcentral lists this ribosomal RNA (431 nucleotides) under uncultured bacterium. RNAcentral's name for it is "partial 16S ribosomal RNA". It matches the Rfam family "Bacterial small subunit ribosomal RNA", at positions 29 to 507 of the family's 1533-position model. The record is from RNAcentral.